CCUACGGGAGGCAGCAGUGGGGAAUAUUGGGCAAUGGAGGCAACUCUGACCCAGCAACGCCGCGUGAAUGAUGAAGGUCUUCGGAUUGUAAAGUUCUGUGAUGGGGGAUGAACACAAUGACGGUACCCCAAUAGCAAGCCACGGCUAACUACGUGCCAGCAGCCGCGGUAAUACGUAGGUGGCAAGCGUUAUCCGGAAUGACUGGGCGUAAAGGGUGCGUAGGUGGUUUAGUAAGUUGGCGGUGUAAUUCCGGGGCUCAACCUCGGCGCUACCGCCAAAACUAUUAGACUAGAGUGCAGGGGGGGUAAGUGGAAUUCCUAGUGUAGCGGUGGAAAGCGUAGAAAUUAAGAGGAACAUCAGGGGCGAAGGCGACUUACUGGACUGUAACUGACACUGAGGCACGAAAGCGUGGGGAGCAAACAGGAUUAGAUACCCCAGUAGUC
Molecule: ribosomal RNA, 443 nt
Filed under: uncultured bacterium
Lineage: Bacteria
Description: partial 16S ribosomal RNA
Rfam family: Bacterial small subunit ribosomal RNA
Source: RNAcentral